This 481-nucleotide long non-coding RNA is filed under the name Phoenix dactylifera (date palm). RNAcentral describes it as "long non-coding RNA (PDAC_LNC016141)". Lineage: Eukaryota; Viridiplantae; Streptophyta; Magnoliopsida; Arecales; Arecaceae. The record is from RNAcentral.
GAGGUAUUAGUACUCUGAGAAAGUCAUGCGAUUUGAUGCACACUCAACUUUUUUUUUCCUUGCUUUGACAGUUGCCAUGCUUGAAAAUAUAUAUCAAUUAAUUACAUGUGUAUUAGCUUAGGAUUUAUUUCAUAUUUUUAUUAGAAUCUCAUGUCAUUCAUGAUGUUUAUGGGUAACAUCCCUGAAAACCCUCACGAGACAACACUCGUCCACUAGGGUAACCUAGGGAUUUAACGGCUUGUUGCACGUGCUAAGUGCAAUCGUGAUUCCUACGAAAGUGAGUACAUAUCUUAGUUUUAUAUCUUUAGCUUCAAUAAAAAGUUAUAGGUUAAACCACACCUUUUGCACUCUCAUUUUAUUAUCUGCUCGUUAAUUGCUAGAGACUAGCAAUAAGCUAGUUGGGGGGUGUGAUGAGAGCACAAAAGUGCGAUCUAUACAUCACUUAAAUUAGUAUUAUUGCUAACAAAUAAUGAUAAAAGUG